RNAcentral lists this ribosomal RNA (536 nucleotides) under Trigonopterus sp. 135 AR-2022a. Its description in RNAcentral is "partial large subunit ribosomal RNA". It matches the Rfam family "Bacterial large subunit ribosomal RNA", at positions 1825 to 2625 of the family's 2925-position model. The record is from RNAcentral. Lineage: Eukaryota; Metazoa; Arthropoda; Insecta; Coleoptera; Curculionidae.
GGCCUGUUGAAAAUAAUUUAAGGUCUGACCUGCCCACUGAGGAAUUAAAUGGCCGCGGUAUAUUGACCGUGCAAAGGUAGCAUAAUCACUAGUUUUUUAAUUGAAAGCUUGAAUGAAAGGUUUGAUGAGAAAAGUUCUGUCUCUAUAAAAAUUAAUUAGAAUUUUAUUUUUAAGUUAAAAAGCUUAAAUUUAUAUAGAAGACGAGAAGACCCUAUAGAGUUUUAUAUAUAAAUAAUGUAUUAGAUUUUAAGAAUUUUAAAUUGUAAUUUUGUUUAUGUAUUUUAUUGGGGUGAUAGAAAAAUUUGUCAAACUUUUUUUUAUGUGAUACAUUGAUAUAUGAAUAAAUGAUCCUAAAGUUUAGAUUGAAAGAUUAAAUUACCUUAGGGAUAACAGCGUAAUUUUUUCUAGAGUUCUUAUCGAAAGAAAAGAUUGCGACCUCGAUGUUGGAUUAAAAUUAAUUAUUGGUGUAGAAGCUAGUAAAUUGGGUCUGUUCGACCUUUAAAAUUUUACAUGAUCUGAGUUUAGACCGGCGUGAG